This 33-nucleotide small RNA is filed under the name Anaerobutyricum hallii. RNAcentral describes it as "CRISPR_Spacer". The record is from RNAcentral. Lineage: Bacteria; Bacillati; Bacillota; Clostridia; Lachnospirales; Lachnospiraceae.
UGGUACGGUUGGCGUAAUUGCUUUUAAGAAAUC